RNAcentral lists this transfer RNA (76 nucleotides) under Elusimicrobia bacterium RIFOXYD12_FULL_66_9. RNAcentral's name for it is "tRNA-Trp". It matches the Rfam family "tRNA". From Rfam's summary of the family: Transfer RNA (tRNA) molecules are approximately 80 nucleotides in length. Their secondary structure includes four short double-helical elements and three loops (D, anti-codon, and T loops). The record is from RNAcentral. Lineage: Bacteria; Pseudomonadati; Elusimicrobiota.
GGGGGUGUCCGUUAAUUGGCUAAACGAGCGGUCUCCAAAACCGCCCCUCCAGGUUCGAAUCCUGGCGCCCCCGCCA